This is a non-coding RNA of Gossypium hirsutum (cotton), 132 nucleotides long. NCBI's taxonomy places the organism in Eukaryota, Viridiplantae, Streptophyta, Magnoliopsida, Malvales, Malvaceae. The record is from Rfam.
UGUUAAAAAUUUCAUCCAUUUGUACUGUUAAAAACUAAAGUGACUAAUAGAAUAAUCAAAUAGUGCCACAUGUACCUCAUGCUGAUGUAUAUAUACCAGUUUUUAAUAGAAAAAUGGACGAAAUUUUUAAUA